This 472-nucleotide ribosomal RNA is filed under the name uncultured microorganism. RNAcentral's name for it is "bacterial SSU rRNA". It matches the Rfam family "Bacterial small subunit ribosomal RNA", at positions 9 to 524 of the family's 1533-position model. The record is from RNAcentral.
GAGUUUGAUCGUGGCUCAGAAUGAACGCUGGCGGCAUGCCUAACACAUGCAAGUCGAACGAAGGCUUCGGCCUUAGUGGCGCACGGGUGCGUAACGCGUGGGAAUCUGCCCUCAGGUUCGGAAUAACGGCGAGAAAUUGCUGCUAAUACCGGAUGAUAUCGCGAGAUCAAAGAUUUAUCGCCUGAGGAUGAGCCCGCGUAGGAUUAGCUAGUUGGUGUGGUAAAGGCGCACCAAGGCGACGAUCCUUAGCUGGUCUGAGAGGAUGAUCAGCCACACUGGGACUGAGACACGGCCCAGACUCCUACGGGAGGCAGCAGUGGGGAAUAUUGGACAAUGGGCGAAAGCCUGAUCCAGCAAUGCCGCGUGAGUGAUGAAGGCCUUAGGGUUGUAAAGCUCUUUUACUCGGGAUGAUAAUGACAGUACCGGGAGAAUAAGCUCCGGCUAACUCCGUGCCAGCAGCAGCCGCGGUAAC